GGCGCACGGGUGAGUAACACGUAGGUAAUCUGCCUUCAGGACUGACAUAACUCCGCGAAAGCGGGACUAAAAUCAGAUGAUGCAGCGGCUCGACAUCGAGGCAGUUGUUAAACCUUCGGGGCCUGAAGAUGAGCCUGCGUCUGAUUAGGUAGUUGGAGGGGUAAUGGCCCACCAAGCCUGCGAUCAGUAGCUGGUCUGAGAGGAUGAUCAGCCACACUGGAACUGAGACACGGUCCAGACUCCUACGGGAGGCAGCAGUAAGGAAUAUUGCUCAAUGGCCGAAAGGCUGAAGCAGCAACGCCGCGUGGAGGAUGAAAUACUUUAGUAUGUAAACUCCUGUAAGAGGGGAAAAUAUACAGUUCUGCUGUAUUGAUUGUACCCUCAGAGUAAGCACCGGCUAACUACGUG
This 408-nucleotide ribosomal RNA is filed under the name uncultured bacterium. Its description in RNAcentral is "bacterial SSU rRNA". It matches the Rfam family "Bacterial small subunit ribosomal RNA", at positions 97 to 507 of the family's 1533-position model. The record is from RNAcentral.